UACGGAGGGGGCGAGCGUUAUUCGGAAUUAUUGGGCGUAAAGGGCAGGUAGGCGGCUUCGUGUGUCCCUUGUGAAAGCCCUCGGCUCAACCGAGGAAUCGCAAAGGAAACUACGGAGCUUGAGUCCGGGAGAGGAGAGUGGAAUUCCCAGUGUAGCGGUGAAAUGCGUAGAUAUUGGGAGGAACACCGGUGGCGAAGGCGGCUCUCUGGACCGGUACUGACGCUGAGCUGCGAAAGCCAGGGGAGCAAACGGG
RNAcentral lists this ribosomal RNA (253 nucleotides) under uncultured prokaryote. RNAcentral describes it as "partial 16S ribosomal RNA". It matches the Rfam family "Bacterial small subunit ribosomal RNA", at positions 524 to 776 of the family's 1533-position model. The record is from RNAcentral.